Molecule: transfer RNA, 63 nt
Filed under: Pauropus longiramus
Lineage: Eukaryota; Metazoa; Arthropoda; Pauropoda; Tetramerocerata; Pauropodidae
Description: tRNA-Leu
Source: RNAcentral
UUUAAAAAAAAUAUUUUUUUAGUAGAAAUAAGGUUUUAUUUACAUUAAAGUUUGGCUUAAGAG